UAGCUCUAUAUCCACCUCUAAAAU
RNAcentral lists this small nuclear RNA (24 nucleotides) under Arabidopsis thaliana (thale cress). RNAcentral describes it as "snRNA_06800". The record is from RNAcentral. Lineage: Eukaryota; Viridiplantae; Streptophyta; Magnoliopsida; Brassicales; Brassicaceae.